AGAGUUUGACUCCUGGCUCGAGGACGAACGCUGGCGGCGUGCCUAACACAUGCAAGUCGAGCGGGGAUCUACCGAAUGAGAGCUUCGGCAGGAUUUUGGUAGAUUCUAGCGGCGGACGGGUGAGUAACGCGUGAGCAACCUGCCUUUAACAGGGGGAUAACGCAUCGAAAGAUGUGCUAAUACCGCAUGAGACCACAACGCUACAUGGCGAAGGGGUCAAAGGAGCAAUCCGGUUAAAGAUGGGCUCGCGUCCGAUUAGCUAGUUGGUGAGAUAACAGCCCACCAAGGCGACGAUCGGUAGCCGACCUGAGAGGGUGAUCGGCCACAUUGGAACUGAGAUACGGUCCAGACUCC
This 354-nucleotide ribosomal RNA is filed under the name uncultured Eubacteriales bacterium. RNAcentral's name for it is "bacterial SSU rRNA". It matches the Rfam family "Bacterial small subunit ribosomal RNA", at positions 8 to 339 of the family's 1533-position model. Lineage: Bacteria; Bacillati; Bacillota; Clostridia; Eubacteriales. The record is from RNAcentral.